GACGAACCGUGCGAACGUUGUUCGGAAUCACUGGGCAUAAAGGGCGCGUAGGCGGCUUUUCAAGUCAGGGGUGAAAUCCGGCAGCUUAACUGUCGAAGUGCCCUUGAUACUGAUGAGCUCGAGGGAGGUAGGGGUAUGUGGAACUUCCGGUGGAGCGGUGAAAUGCGUUGAUAUCGGAAGGAACGCCGGUGGCGAAAGCGACGUACUGGACCUCUUCUGACGCUGAGGCGCGAAAGCUAGGGGAGCAAACGGG
Molecule: ribosomal RNA, 253 nt
Filed under: uncultured bacterium
Lineage: Bacteria
Description: partial 16S ribosomal RNA
Rfam family: Bacterial small subunit ribosomal RNA
Source: RNAcentral